CGUGUAGGCGGCCUUUUAAGUUUCGUGUGAAAACCCCGUUUUCAAGGCGGGAGGUGCACGGGAUACUGGAGGGCUUGAGUGCAGGAGAGGGAAGUGGAAUUCCAAGUGUAGCGGUGAAAUGCGUAGAGAUUUGGAGGAACACCAGUGGCGAAGGCGACUUUCUGGACUGCAACUGACGCUGAGACGCGAAAGCGUGGGGAGCAAACAG
Molecule: ribosomal RNA, 208 nt
Filed under: uncultured bacterium
Lineage: Bacteria
Description: partial 16S ribosomal RNA
Rfam family: Bacterial small subunit ribosomal RNA
Source: RNAcentral